UACUGGUCAAUGGGCGAAAGCCUGAACCAGCCAUGCCGCGUGCAGGAAGACGGCCCUACGGGUUGUAACCUGCUUUUAUACGGGAACAAACCCCCGCUCGUGAGCGGGGCUGAGUGUACCGUAAGAAUAAGGAUCGGCUAACUCCGUGCCAGCAGCCGCGGUAAUACGGAGGAUCCGAGCGUUAUCCGGAUUUAUUGGGUUUAAAGGGUGCGUAGGCGGCGUGCUAAGUCAGUGGUGAAAGACGGUGGCUCAACCAUCGCAGUGCCGUUGAUACUGGCGCGCUUGAAUGCGGAUGAGGUAGGCGGAAUGUGGCAAGUAGCGGUGAAAUGCAUAGAUAUGCCACAGAACACCGAUUGCGAAGGCAGCUUACCAAGGCGCGAUUGACGCUGAUGCACGAAAGCGUGGGGAUCGAACAGG
Molecule: ribosomal RNA, 417 nt
Filed under: uncultured bacterium
Lineage: Bacteria
Description: partial 16S ribosomal RNA
Rfam family: Bacterial small subunit ribosomal RNA
Source: RNAcentral